GCUUCACCUUUAAGGCAGCGCAGGGACUGCUGGGAAGGCCGGCGGGAUGGAGGCGGCGGGACCCGCUCACGGCGGCUGGUCCGGGUGAAGCGGCACCGGAGCAGGAGCCGGAGCCGGAGCCGAGCCGUAGCGGGAGGCGGGCCCAGCGGGAGACUGAGCGGCGUGGCCCCAGGCUGGGCACCCCCUGCCCGCCCUCUCGCCUUCACAGGAGGCACGGCCAUGGCCACGAUGGUGCUUCCUCGGGAGGAGAAGCUGAGCCAGGAUGAGAUCGUGCUGGGCACCAAGGCCGUCAUCCAAGGGCUAGAGACCCUGCGCGGGGAGCAUCGUGCCCUUCUCGCUCCCCUGGUCGCUCAUGAAGCUAGUGAGGCAGAGCCGGGCUCACAGGAGCGCUGUGUCCUCCUGCGCCGUUCCCUGGAGGCCAUCGAGCUGGGGCUGGGGGAGGCCCAGGUGAUCUUGGCACUCUCGAGCCACCUGGGAGCUGUGGAGUCAGAGAAGCAGAAGCUGCGGGCCCAGGUGCGGCGCUUGGUGCAGGAGAACCAGUGGCUGCGCGAGGAGCUGGCGGGGACACAGCAGAAGCUGCAGCGCAGCGAGCAGGCCGUGGCCCAGCUCGAGGAGGAGAAGCAGCACUUGCUGUUCAUGAGCCAGAUCCGCAAGUUGGAUGAGGACACCCCACCCCACGAGGACAAGGGGGACGUCCCCAAAGACUCUCUGGAUGACCUGUUCCCCAGCGAGGAGGAGCAGAACCCAGCCCCCAGCCCUGGAGGAGGCGAUGUGGCCGCCCAGCACGGGGGCUAUGAAAUUCCGGCCCGGCUGCGCACCCUGCACAACCUGGUGAUCCAGUACGCCUCCCAGGGCCGUUAUGAGGUGGCCGUGCCCCUCUGCAAGCAGGCCCUGGAGGACCUGGAGAAGACGUCGGGCCACGACCACCCGGACGUGGCCACCAUGCUGAACAUCCUGGCGCUGGUCUACCGGGACCAGAACAAGUACAAAGAGGCUGCCCACCUGCUCAAUGAUGCCCUGGCCAUCCGCGAGAAGACUCUGGGCAAGGACCACCCAGCUGUGGCUGCAACACUGAAUAAUCUGGCGGUCCUGUAUGGCAAGCGGGGCAAGUACAAGGAGGCUGAGCCUCUGUGCAAGCGGGCGCUGGAGAUCCGGGAGAAGGUCCUGGGCAAGUUUCAUCCAGACGUGGCCAAGCAGCUGAGCAACCUGGCCCUGCUGUGCCAGAACCAGGGCAAAGCCGAGGAGGUGGAAUACUACUACCGGCGGGCGCUGGAGAUCUAUGCCACACGCCUUGGGCCUGACGACCCCAAUGUGGCCAAGACCAAGAACAACCUGGCCUCCUGCUACCUGAAGCAGGGCAAGUACCAGGAUGCAGAGGCCCUGUACAAGGAGAUCCUCACCCGCGCUCACGAGAAGGAGUUCGGCUCUGUCAGCGGGGACAACAAGCCCAUCUGGAUGCACGCAGAGGAGCGGGAGGAGAGCAAGGAUAAGCGCCGGGACAGCACCCCCUACGGGGAAUAUGGCAGCUGGUACAAGGCCUGUAAAGUAGACAGCCCCACGGUCAACACCACCCUGCGCAGCUUGGGGGCCCUGUACCGGCGCCAGGGCAAGCUGGAAGCCGCACACACGCUGGAGGACUGUGCCAGCCGCAGCCGCAAGCAGGGCCUGGACCCCGCAAGCCAGACCAAGGUGGUGGAGCUCCUGAAGGACGGUGGCAGCGGGCGCGGAGACCGCCGUGGCAGCCGAGAUGGGCCCGGGGGUGUGGGGGCUCGGUCUGAGGCUGACCUCGAGGAGGCGGGGCCUGCCGCCGAGUGGAGCGGGGAUGGCAGCGGCUCCUUGCGGCGCAGCGGCUCCUUCGGGAAGCUUCGGGAUGCCCUGAGGCGCAGCAGUGAGAUGCUGGUGAAGAAGCUGCAGGGGGGUGGCCCCCAGGAGCCCCCAAACCCCAGGAUGAAGCGGGCCAGUUCCCUCAACUUCCUCAACAAGAGUGUGGAAGAGCCAGUCCAGGCCUGGCUGGACCCGGGGGAAACGUGAGGGAAAGCUGGGUGCUGCCUAUGAGCGGCCAGCGGCAAACACAGUGACUGUGGAGCCUGGAGGCACAGGCCUCUCUGACAGCCGCACCCUCAGCUCCAGCUCCAUGGACCUCUCCCGACGAAACUCCCUCGUGGGCUAAUCCUGAAGGGGCAGCCGUUCGCCAGAGCCUCCACCGGCACUGUCCCCACCCCAGCCCUGCGCAUGGGCCUGCUGCUUGCCCUCCUGUCUCUUCCAAGGACCCCUAUCUUUUCUGUUCAAUCUCAGGGUAACCUUCUCCCUUUAUCAUCUUAGCCUGAGCCCUGGAGGCUGGGCCCGCCCGCUCCAGCUCUCCCCCUUAUUUAUUCCUUCCAGCAGGGCCCCUCUUCCCUAGGUUCAGGGCCAGCAGAGGGGUUGGGCAGGGUCUCCAAGGUAGAGAGACUCAGUGGCCCGCUCUCCGCAGACCCGCGAUCCAAGAACACUAAGCACCUGCGGUCCCUUCAGCACCCAGCCCUCCCCCGGCCGUUGCUUCUGUAUAUAGAGAAAUAAGUUAUUGGCCGCACCCCUCCCCUCCGUCCUUGGUACUAUCCAGCCUCCCCUCACCCCACCCUUCUCUAGUGGUACCGCCCAGGCCUUAAUCACCCCCAUUCCGCGCGGUGGUAUCUCCCUGGCUCCACAUCUCAGGGGCGGCGCCUCCCCAAAGGGUUCCCUGGGCCUACUCGCGUUCCUCCCGGCCUCCAAGGGGUGCGCCCGGACCCGCCAUCGCCCCGUGUCCAGGACAGAAAGCCUGGCCCACAGCCGUCCGCUCCCCGCCGGGCCCUGCCCUGCAGCCGGGUCUUAUGCACUGCCCCGCCCGCCCCGCCCAGGCUCGGCCUGACCCCGCCCCGGGCACCGCCCACAGAGCCAUCCUACCACGCCUCCUCCCGCGUCUGCAGCUUCUAGCGAGGGGCAGUGAUGGCCCCCCGUGGCAGGAGGGGCUGCCCCAGUUGGGGAGUGAGGCGGUCGCUCUCUAUUUUCAAAUGUUGCUGUAGAAAUAAAGACGGUUUGACUCUGA
Molecule: RNA transcript, 3061 nt
Organism: Bubalus bubalis (water buffalo)
Lineage: Eukaryota; Metazoa; Chordata; Mammalia; Artiodactyla; Bovidae
Gene: KLC2
Gene name: kinesin light chain 2
Exons: 17
Source: RefSeq, a predicted model, not a curated record